This 403-nucleotide ribosomal RNA is filed under the name Rhampholeon platyceps (Mount Mulanje pygmy chameleon). Its description in RNAcentral is "12S ribosomal RNA". It matches the Rfam family "Bacterial small subunit ribosomal RNA", at positions 780 to 1400 of the family's 1533-position model. Lineage: Eukaryota; Metazoa; Chordata; Lepidosauria; Squamata; Chamaeleonidae. The record is from RNAcentral.
AGAUACCCUACUAUGCCCAACUGUAAACACAGAUUCUUNUUAUCCGCCAGAGAACAACGAGCCAAAGCUUAAAACUCAAAGGACUUGGCGGCAUUCCACACCACCCUAGAGGGGCCUGUCACAUAAUCGAUAACCCACGAUACACCUCACCCCUUUUAUUCCCGCCUAUAUACCGCCGUCGCCAGCCCAUCUUUUAAAAGGAGCCAAAUGGGCCCAAUAGUCUCACCACACUAACACGACAGGUCAAGGUGUAGCCCAUAAAGGGGCGAAUGAUGGACCACAUUGCCCUCAAAGCCAAACCAAGGCUGUAAUGAAACACACACUUUAAGGUGAAUUUAACAGUAAUGCAGGUAAGAAAGCCCGCCUAAAGAUUGCUCUGGAACGUGCACACACCGCCCGUCAC